Molecule: ribosomal RNA, 479 nt
Filed under: uncultured bacterium
Lineage: Bacteria
Description: partial 16S ribosomal RNA
Rfam family: Bacterial small subunit ribosomal RNA
Source: RNAcentral
GACGAACGCUGGCGGCGUGCUUAACACAUGCAAGUCGAACGAAGCUUGAUUACGGAUUCUUCGGAUGAAGUAUGAUAUGACUGAGUGGCGGACGGGUGAGUAACGCGUGAGUAACCUGCCCUUCAGAGGGGGAUAGCGUUUGGAAACGAACGGUAAUACCGCAUAAUGUAUUUUGACCGCAUGAUCGAAAUACCAAAGAUUUAUCGCUGAAGGAUGGACUCGCGUCUGAUUAGGUAGUUGGGGGGGUAACGGCCUACCAAGCCGACGAUCAGUAGCCGGACUGAGAGGUUGAUCGGCCACAUCGGGACUGAGACACGGCCCAGACUCCUACGGGAGGCAGCAGUGGGGAAUAUUGCACAAUGGGCGCAAGCCUGAUGCAGCAACGCCGCGUGAAGGAAGACGGUUUUCGGAUUGUAAACUUCUGUUCUUAGUGAAGAAUAAUGACGGUAGCUAAGGAGCAAGCCACGGCUAACUACGUG